AUACGUAGGUGGCAAGCGUUGUCCGGAAUUAUUGGGCGUAAAGCGCAUGUAGGCGGUUUGGUAAGUCGGUCGUGAAAAUGCGGUGCUUAACGCUGUAUGGCGAUCGAAUCUGCUGAACUUGAGUGCUGGAGAGGAAAGGGGAACUCCCAGUGUAGCGGGGAAAUGCGUAAAUAUUGGGAAGAACACCGGUGGGGAAGGCGCCUUUCUGGACUUUGUCUGACACUCAGAGGCGAAAGCCAGGGGAGAGAACGGGAUUAGAUACCCCGGUGUACCCGGCCGUGAACAAUGGGUACGAGAUGUGGGAGGUUGCGACUCGUUCCGUGCCGGAGUUAACGCAAUAAGUACCCCGCCUGGGGAGUACGGCCGCAAGGCUUAAACUCAAAGGAAUUGACGGGG
RNAcentral lists this ribosomal RNA (396 nucleotides) under uncultured bacterium. RNAcentral describes it as "partial 16S ribosomal RNA". It matches the Rfam family "Bacterial small subunit ribosomal RNA", at positions 523 to 918 of the family's 1533-position model. The record is from RNAcentral.